AUAUUAAAUGACUAAAUGAGCAACAAUUGGCUAUAUUGUUUACAAGUAUUCCAAAAAUAUAGGUUGGGAGAGGGUUAUGUACAGCACUGAUGUAUUUUUACAAACAAUUGCAAACAAAAAAGGCGUGAGAAAGCAAAGGAACAUUAAAAACUUAUAAAAUGAAGACAAGCAGACAACAGCAUGGCAAAAAAACACGAAAAAGAAAAACAAAUAGAAAUAGAAAAUUAUGAUCGAGGCUAGUAUUACCUACUACAUUAUAUGGUCUCCUGUAGUUUAAUCCCACGAACCA
This 289-nucleotide long non-coding RNA is filed under the name Mytilus galloprovincialis (Mediterranean mussel). Lineage: Eukaryota; Metazoa; Mollusca; Bivalvia; Mytilida; Mytilidae. The record is from RNAcentral.